Molecule: ribosomal RNA, 413 nt
Filed under: uncultured bacterium
Lineage: Bacteria
Description: bacterial SSU rRNA
Rfam family: Bacterial small subunit ribosomal RNA
Source: RNAcentral
GUGUCAGCAGCCGCGGUAAUACGGAGGGGGUUAGCGUUGUUCGGAAUUACUGGGCGUAAAGCGUGCGCAGGCGGUUUUGUAAGACAGGCGUGAAAUCCCCGGGCUCAACCUGGGAACUGCGUUUGUGACUGCAAGGCUAGAGUACGGCAGAGGGGGGUGGAAUUCCACGUGUAGCAGUGAAAUGCGUAGAGAUGUGGAGGAACACCAAUGGCGAAGGCAGCCCCCUGGGUCGAUACUGACGCUCAUGCACGAAAGCGUGGGUAGCAAACAGGAUUAGAUACCCUGGUAGUCCACGCCCUAAACGAUGUCAACUAGGUGUUGGGUGGGUAAAACCAUUUAGUACCGGAGCUAACGCGUGAAGUUGACCGCCUGGGGAGUACGGCCGCAAGGUUAAAACUCAAAGGAAUUGGCGG